AUGAUUCAAAAUGGGUUUCAAUAUCCACAUAAGUUUCUAUGGAAAGUCAAAAUGCCUCCUAAGGUAAAAGUGUUCUUAUGGCUUGUGCUGAGAGAUAGUAUCCUCACCAAAGACAAUUUAAUAAAAAGAGGGUGGCGUGGAGACAGUAAGUGCUCCUUUUGUGGCAGAGAGGACGAUAUUAAUCAUCUUUUUGUAUUGUUCUGUUGCCAGGAUGUUGUGGAUGGUUAUGAAAUGCUCUUUUGGUAUGCAUGA
Molecule: ribosomal RNA, 252 nt
Filed under: Triticum aestivum (bread wheat)
Lineage: Eukaryota; Viridiplantae; Streptophyta; Magnoliopsida; Poales; Poaceae
Description: partial small subunit ribosomal RNA
Source: RNAcentral